This 548-nucleotide ribosomal RNA is filed under the name uncultured Glomeromycotina. RNAcentral describes it as "SSU rRNA". It matches the Rfam family "Eukaryotic small subunit ribosomal RNA", at positions 548 to 1098 of the family's 1831-position model. Lineage: Eukaryota; Fungi; Glomeromycota. The record is from RNAcentral.
UUGGAGGGCAAGUCUGGUGCCAGCAGCCGCGGUAAUUCCAGCUCCAAUAGCGUAUAUUAAAGUUGUUGCAGUUAAAAAGCUCGUAGUUGAAUUUCGGGACCAGUACGUUGGUCGUGCCUUAGGUACGUACUGGUGUUACUGGUUCCUACCUUCUGACGAACCAUCAUGUCAUUCAUUUGGUGUGGCGGGGAAUCAGGACUGUUACUUUGAAAAAAUUAGAGUGUUUAAAGCAGGCUCGCGCUUGAAUACAUUAGCAUGGAAUAAUGAAAUAGGACGUUGAUCCUAUUUUGUUGGUUUCUAGGAUUGACGUAAUGAUUAAUAGGGAUAGUUGGGGGCAUUAGUAUUCAAUUGUCAAAGGUGAAAUUCUUGGAUUUAUUGAAGACUAACUACUGCGAAAGCAUUUGCCAAGGAUGUUUUCAUUAAUCAAGAACGAAAGUUAGGGGAUCGAAGACGAUCAGAUACCGUCGUAGUCUUAACCAUAAACUAUGCCGACUAGGGAUCGGAUGAUGUUAAUUUUUUAAUGACUCAUUCGGCGCCUUACGGGAAAC